AUUGCUUCUCCACCGGUCGAGGACAACCGACCCCUCGCGUCAGAGGCUAAACGACGUCCCGGUGUUACCUCCCUGGAGGCACACGUUAAAGAUCGUUCCGCAUUGUGAGUCUUGACACCAGCUGUACAAUUUUUUACAACCGGUGGCGUUGGAUCCCUUGGCACGUCAUUCGAUGAAGACCGUUGCAAAUUGCGAUAAAGUGAUGUGAUGCGCAAGUCCACCACUUAUACGUGAAUCAUCGAGUUGUUGAACGCACUGCACCGCGCCCUAACCCGGCUGCGGUAUGCCCCUUUGAGCGUCAUUGCUACCCUUCGGGAGCCUUUCCUUGGGAAGACCCGAGUUCGGAGUCCUCGGUCCUCGGACCGUGUUCUCUCAGAUCCAUCGCGCCGAUCGUCCGGUAAGGUCCUCUAAUGCCUGAGCGUGGAGAGAGCCUCUGGAGUUUUGAGCGGCGUUUGACUGCGUGGCGAGCGCUGGUCACCAAGUCCGCACGGCCUAGCCGUCGGUGCUACAACUCAUGACCUCAUUGGGGUAGGACAACCCGCUAGACUUAAGCAUAUUAAUCAGCGGAGGAAAAGAAACUAACCAGGAUCCCCUCAGUAACUGCGA
This 606-nucleotide ribosomal RNA is filed under the name uncultured Tulasnella. Its description in RNAcentral is "eukaryotic LSU rRNA". The stretch from base 138 to 301 matches the Rfam family "5.8S ribosomal RNA". The record is from RNAcentral. Lineage: Eukaryota; Fungi; Basidiomycota; Agaricomycetes; Cantharellales; Tulasnellaceae.